This 879-nucleotide ribosomal RNA is filed under the name Chinese Huanglongbing disease-associated phytoplasma. RNAcentral describes it as "bacterial SSU rRNA". It matches the Rfam family "Bacterial small subunit ribosomal RNA", at positions 366 to 1254 of the family's 1533-position model. Lineage: Bacteria; Bacillati; Mycoplasmatota; Mollicutes; Acholeplasmatales; Acholeplasmataceae. The record is from RNAcentral.
CGGCAAUGGAGGAAACUCUGACCGAGCAACGCCGCGUGAACGAUGAAGUAUUUCGGUACGUAAAGUUCUUUUAUUAGGGAAGAAUAAAUGAUGGAAAAAUCAUUCUGACGGUACCUAAUGAAUAAGCCCCGGCUAACUAUGUGCCAGCAGCCGCGGUAAUACAUAGGGGGCAAGCGUUAUCCGGAAUUAUUGGGCGUAAAGGGUGCGUAGGCGGUUAAAUAAGUUUAUGGUCUAAGUGCAAUGCUCAACAUUGUGAUGCUAUAAAAACUGUUUAGCUAGAGUAAGAUAGAGGCAAGUGGAAUUCCAUGUGUAGUGGUAAAAUGCGUAAAUAUAUGGAGGAACACCAGUAGCGAAGGCGGCUUGCUGGGUCUUUACUGACGCUGAGGCACGAAAGCGUGGGGAGCAAACUGGAUUAGAUACCCUGGUAGUCCACGCCGUAAACGAUGAGUACUAAACGUUGGGUAAAACCAGUGUUGAAGUUAACACAUUAAGUACUCCGCCUGAGUAGUACGUACGCAAGUAUGAAACUUAAAGGAAUUGACGGGACUCCGCACAAGCGGUGGAUCAUGUUGUUUAAUUCGAAGGUACCCGAAAAACCUCACCAGGUCUUGACAUGCUUCUGCAAAGCUGUAGAAACACAGUGGAGGUUAUCAGUUGCACAGGUGGUGCAUGGUUGUCGUCAGCUCGUGUCGUGAGAUGUUGGGUUAAGUCCCGCAACGAGCGCAACCCUUAUUGUUAGUUACCAGCACGUAAUGGUGUGGACUUUAGCAAGACUGCCAGUGAUAAAUUGGAGGAAGGUGGGGACGACGUCAAAUCAUCAUGCCCCUUAUGACCUGUGCUACAAACGUGAUACAAUGGCUGUUACAAAGAGUAGCUGAA